ACGGGAGGCAGCAGUGGGGGAUAUUGCACAAUGGGGGAAACCCUGAUGCAGCGACGCCGCGUGAGCGAUGAAGUAUUUCGGUAUGUAAAGCUCUAUCAGCAGGAAAGAUAAUGACGGUACCUGACUAAGAAGCACCGGCUAAAUACGUGCCAGCAGCCGCGGUAAUACGUAUGGUGCAAGCGUUAUCCGGAUUUACUGGGUGUAAAGGGAGCGCAGACGGCAUGGCAAGCCAGAUGUGAAAGGCAGGGGCUCAACUCCUGGACUGCAUUCGGAACUGUCAAGCUAGAGUAUCGAAGAGGUAAGUGGAAUUCCUAGUGUAGCGGUGAAAUGCGUAGAUAUUAGGAGGAACCCCAGUGGCGAAGGCGGCUUACUGGACGAUAACUGACGUUGAGGCUCGAAAGCGUGGGGAGCAAACAGGAUUAGAUACCCUGGUA
This 434-nucleotide ribosomal RNA is filed under the name uncultured Lachnospiraceae bacterium. RNAcentral's name for it is "partial 16S ribosomal RNA". It matches the Rfam family "Bacterial small subunit ribosomal RNA", at positions 341 to 792 of the family's 1533-position model. The record is from RNAcentral. Lineage: Bacteria; Bacillati; Bacillota; Clostridia; Lachnospirales; Lachnospiraceae.